AGCGAACGCUGGCGGCAGGCUUAACACAUGCAAGUCGAGCGGGCAUCCUUGUGGUGUCCGCGGCAGACGGGUGAGUAACGCGUGGGAACGUGCCCUUCUGUUCGGAAUAACUCAGGGAAACUUGAGCUAAUACCGGAUACGUGCGAGAGCAGAAAGGAUUAUCUGCCGAAGGAUCGGCCCGCGUCUGAUUAGCUAGUUGGUGAGGUUAUGGCUCACCAAGGCGACGAUCAGUAGCUGGUCUGAGAGGAUGAUCAGCCACACUGGGACUGAGACACGGCCCAGACUCCUACGGGAGGCAGCAGUGGGGAAUAUUGGACAAUGGGGGCAACCCUGAUCCAGCCAUGCCGCGUGAGUGAUGAAGGCCUUAGGGUUGUAAAGCUCUUUUCUCCGGGACGAUAAUGACGGUACCGGAGGAAUAAGCCCCGGCUAACUUCGUG
This 437-nucleotide ribosomal RNA is filed under the name uncultured bacterium. RNAcentral describes it as "partial 16S ribosomal RNA". It matches the Rfam family "Bacterial small subunit ribosomal RNA", at positions 29 to 507 of the family's 1533-position model. The record is from RNAcentral.